RNAcentral lists this ribosomal RNA (706 nucleotides) under uncultured bacterium. RNAcentral's name for it is "bacterial SSU rRNA". It matches the Rfam family "Bacterial small subunit ribosomal RNA", at positions 28 to 722 of the family's 1533-position model. The record is from RNAcentral.
GAUGAACGCUAGCUAACUCUAAGAGCAUGCAAGUCGAGGGGAAACGAUAUUGGAAGCUCCCUUCCGAUAGGCGUCGACCGGCGCACGGGUGAGUAACGCGUAUCCAACCUGCCCAUCACUUGGGGAUAACCUUGCGAAAGUAAGACUAAUACCCAAUGACGUCUCUAGAAGACAUCUGAAAGAGAUUAAAGAUUUAUCGGUGAUGGAUGGGGAUGCGUCUGAUUAGCUUGUUGGCGGGGUAACGGCCCACCAAGGCGACGAUCAGUAGGGGUUCUGAGAGGAAGGUCCCCCACAUUGGAACUGAGACACGGUCCAAACUCCUACGGGAGGCAGCAGUGAGGAAUAUUGGUCAAUGGGCGAGAGCCUGAACCAGCCAAGUAGCGUGCAGGAUGACGGCCCUAUGGGUUGUAAACUGCUUUUAUAAGGGAAUAAAGUGAGCCUCGUGAGGCUUUUUGCAUGUACCUUAUGAAUAAGGACCGGCUAAUUCCGUGCCAGCAGCCGCGGUAAUACGGAAGGUCCGGGCGUUAUCCGGAUUUAUUGGGUUUAAAGGGAGCGUAGGCCGGAGAUUAAGCGUGUUGUGAAAUGUAGACGCUCAACGUCUGCACUGCAGCGCGAACUGGUUUCCUUGAGUACGCACAAAGUGGGCGGAAUUCGUGGUGUAGCGGUGAAAUGCUUAGAUAUCACGAAGAACUCCGAUUGCGAAGGC